RNAcentral lists this long non-coding RNA (464 nucleotides) under Androctonus crassicauda. Lineage: Eukaryota; Metazoa; Arthropoda; Arachnida; Scorpiones; Buthidae. The record is from RNAcentral.
AAGUUAUUGAACUUGUUUUUCAAUGACGAUAAUCUGCUCUACAAACUGAUUGUUUCAGAUGAGUGAACAUUCUACAUCAACCACGCUCCAAAUCGCCAAAAUGUUCGGUAUUGGAAGAGCAAAAGUAUAUAGAGUAGUUGCACUCUGUUUCGGUGCCUUUGAUGUUCAGUGUCUCUCGAGUGGGCGGAGUUUAGCCCAACCGCCAUGUUGUUAUCUAACUGCGGUAGUAUUUGUUUUGAAUGACUGCUUCAUCGCGAUUAGUUUAUGGAUAAUCAGAUGAAUUAUAAUGAAAAAUUCCGGCACGAUAUUUUGAAGUAAAGUCUAUAUAGAAGUCUUAAAUAUAAAACUUUCGUAUAUUUAAUCUGUUGUUUUACUUUUCUCGUUUAAAUAAACCAUGUCAACAUUUAUAAUUUUAAAAUUUUAAUUUUUAGGCAAUACAUAAAACUAAUGCAAAAUAAAACGAC